Talpa occidentalis (Iberian mole) is the source of this 545-nucleotide long non-coding RNA. RefSeq lists it as uncharacterized. The record is from RefSeq and is a predicted model, not a curated record. Lineage: Eukaryota; Metazoa; Chordata; Mammalia; Eulipotyphla; Talpidae. The transcript is spliced from 3 exons.
ACUCUGAUAUGAUGCAACAAGAAUGCACUUAACCUCUGUGGUCCUCUUCCCAAAACUAUAAACAUGAGAAAAGACAAACCCAAACUGAGUUUCUACAAGGCUUUGAAGAGGUAUGAACUGAAAUGAUCAGGGACCAAGCACUGCAAGUGACAGCAAAGUCUGCUCUCUUCUGUUUUGGAGGGAAUGGGAAAGAAUCGUGGGAACAAUAGUGGCACUCAUGCAGAAGCAGAGAUGAGAGUUGAACGGGUUUUCGUGAAGCACAAACUAUGCCAGGACAUGGAGAAAAGGCAACUAUCUGCAAGCCAGGAAUAGCGCUCUCAUCAGGAACUGAAUUGACCGGCACCUUCACUUUGGACUUGCAGGUUCCAGAACUGUGAGAAACCACUAUGGUAUUUUGUUAUGGCAGAAUGAGACAGUUUGUUCACUGACAAGCAGCUUUGUGUGGGGUCAGUUGCUGAGGAAAUGCUUAAGGAUCAAGAGAUGGGCCCCAAAAUGUCCCCAAAGUUUGGUAGGGCUUUUGCUUUAACCAAGGUGGGGUGUGCAAG